CAGGAUCUUCCUCUGUCUCCCAGGCUGGAAUGCAGUGGUGUAAUCAUAACUCACUGUAACCUCCAACUCCUGGGCUCGACUGAUGCUCCUGCCUCAGCCUCCCGAGUAACUGGGACUGCAGGUGCAUGCCAUCAUGCCCUGUAGGAUUUUUUAAAGGUCUGGGGACCCCAGAAAUGCUGCAUUUCUAAUAAGGAGGUGAGUGGUGCUGAUGCAGCUGGUUUGAGGACCCAUUUUGAAUGUCAGGUCUUGAAGGUUGGCAGCCAGGCUGCGUCUUUCUUGAACUGUGUGAGCAUGGAGCCAUCGACCUCAAGCCUACUCCCCACUUAGUCAACAGAAGGCUUGGUUUUCAACCUCUGCCCAAAGGGAACACCCCACCGAAUUCCUGUUUCCAGUCUGAGAAUUUCUGUUUGGGGCCUUGGUGCUGUGUUAAUGAAAGACUCAUGGGAAAUAUAACAGCUGGUGCUGGUACCCAGAGCAGAAGAGCUACAAUUGAUUGGAACAUGGAGGGCUCCUUGUAGGUGCUAUAAAUUGCAUUGUCGGGUUAGUGUAAAGUUACUAAAAU
RNAcentral lists this long non-coding RNA (562 nucleotides) under Homo sapiens (human). RNAcentral describes it as "HSALNT0109831". Lineage: Eukaryota; Metazoa; Chordata; Mammalia; Primates; Hominidae. The record is from RNAcentral.